CAGCCGCCGCGGUAAUACGUAGGGGGCGAGCGUUACCCGGAUUCACUGGGCGUAAAGGGGGUGUAGGCGGCUCGGUAAGUCGGGUGUGAAAUCCCACGGCUCAACCGUGGAAUUGCGCCCGAAACUGCCGAGCUUGGGGCCGGUAGAGGGAGACGGAACUGCCGGUGUAGGGGUGAAAUCCGUAGAUAUCGGCAGGAACGCCGGUGGGGAAGCCGGUCUCCUGGGCCGCGCCCGACGCUGAGGCCCGAAAGCUAGGGGAGCAAACCGGAUUAGAUACCCGGGUAGUCCUAGCCGUAAACGAUGCCCACUAGGUGUGGGGGAGUAUUUCCUCCGUGCUGGAGCUAACGCGUUAAGUGGGCCGCCUGGGGAGUACGGCCGCAAGGUUGAAACUUAAAGGAAUUGGCGGG
Molecule: ribosomal RNA, 407 nt
Filed under: uncultured microorganism
Description: bacterial SSU rRNA
Rfam family: Bacterial small subunit ribosomal RNA
Source: RNAcentral